AAUCCCCAGCAUGCUACGCGCCAGAAACUGUCCCCGACCUCGAGAGGGAAAAGCACUGGCCCGCCAGCCUUGGGGUCGUAAGUUAAUUGUGUUCUUCUCCUAUUGGGCCAUACCCUUGCCAAGAACGGGAACAGAGUCCUACUCAUUCUGGGUCCCUGUGCUGUCCAGCGUGAUGUAAAGCAACAGGCACACAAAACUCCAGAGGACCCCUGUCCCAAGCAGGAGACAACAUAAUCACCCCAGUCACUCUGAGUCAGAAAAUCCUGGAGUUGGAAAUAACCUUCUCACACUGAAGUCAGGGAAACUGAGGCCCACUCCACAGCUGCUUCUGCAUUAGAGUGAGAAUGACACCAGAAGGAACACUAAAAAUUAAUAAAGUAAGGAA
Molecule: long non-coding RNA, 385 nt
Organism: Fukomys damarensis (Damara mole-rat)
Lineage: Eukaryota; Metazoa; Chordata; Mammalia; Rodentia; Bathyergidae
Exons: 3
Source: RefSeq, a predicted model, not a curated record